AAUUAGAAUGGGCCAUUUGAGUUUCUUAAAAAAAUCCAAAAGAGGAAGGAGAGGCUUGUCCCCCUUCUCUCUCACUUUCUUUCUUCGGAAUUUGAACCUCAGGGGGAAAGUAAACCCUAUCCACCUUGCGACCACCACCGUUAGUAGGAGGUAAACACUGCCGCCGUCGUCUGCGCUGUUGAGCUUCCUUCCUUGUCUCGUCUUUGCUAUCAAGAUCUCGUUCCGCAGCGCAAACUGUCACCAGCCGCACCUUAUUCAUACAGAUCGGCGGCCGUCGUCGUCAUCCGCGGUACUGACUCGGUUGUCGUGCUCUGGAUCUUCCGGCAUCGUUUGGUAGUCGUGAUUCGAGUAGCUAACCCCUCCGUGAUUGACCUGUCGCCGGAGUUCCGGGAAAGGGAAAGAGGGUUCUUCCUCGUUGUGUCUCUCGUGGCGGUCUUCCUGGUGUUCACUGUCGUCGUCGUCCGUUGCCUCGAACCGUCCUUCCUCGUAUUCUGCUCUCCGCCUUCAUCGCAGGUUAUAGAUGUGUAUAAUUUUUGGUUUUCCAAGUAGACUUUAUGCCUUCACUGUCACUGUCCGUCCGUAUGGCUCAGUGCAGCAAUGACAUCCUCAACCGUGGGCAUUGCCUCCCCAUAUUCCGGUUGGGCUGUAGAAUGAUGUUCCGGAAGCCGCCUCCUCGAUGGUAGCUUCAUGGUGUGAGCGUUGAGACAUGGGUUUAGAGUCUUCGGUUGGCAACUAACGUGUAAAAGAAGCGCCCUUUCAGGCGUUGGAGAUUCCACAGCAUAUAUAGGCCUCAUGAUAGCUGCAUGUGGGACUGGAUAAUUUAAAAAAUUAAAGGGAUGAUAAAGCAUGGUCCAACUAUGUAUUUUCAUAUUAUUUAUUCAUUUUUAAGAUUAUUAUUUAUUUUAA
Arachis stenosperma is the source of this 906-nucleotide long non-coding RNA. RefSeq lists it as uncharacterized. The record is from RefSeq and is a predicted model, not a curated record. The transcript has 2 exons. Lineage: Eukaryota; Viridiplantae; Streptophyta; Magnoliopsida; Fabales; Fabaceae.